RNAcentral lists this ribosomal RNA (254 nucleotides) under uncultured bacterium. Its description in RNAcentral is "partial 16S ribosomal RNA". It matches the Rfam family "Bacterial small subunit ribosomal RNA", at positions 524 to 776 of the family's 1533-position model. The record is from RNAcentral.
UACGUAGGGUGCGAGCGUUGUCCGGAAUUAUUGGGCGUAAAGCGCUCGUAGGCGGUUGGUCGCGUCGGCCGUGAAAACCUGCAGCUUAACUGUGGGCUUGCGGUCGAUACGGGCAUCACUGGAGUUCGGCAGGGGAGACUGGAAUUCCUGGUGUAGCGGUGAAAUGCGCAGAUAUCAGGAGGAACACCGGUGGCGAAGGCGGGUCUCUGGGCCGAUACUGACGCUGAGGAGCGAAAGCGUGGGGAGCGAACAGG